RNAcentral lists this ribosomal RNA (466 nucleotides) under uncultured Geobacter sp. Its description in RNAcentral is "bacterial SSU rRNA". It matches the Rfam family "Bacterial small subunit ribosomal RNA", at positions 338 to 795 of the family's 1533-position model. Lineage: Bacteria; Pseudomonadati; Thermodesulfobacteriota; Desulfuromonadia; Geobacterales; Geobacteraceae. The record is from RNAcentral.
CCUACGGGCGGCAGCAGUGGGGAAUUUUGCGCAAUGGGGGAAACCCUGACGCAGCAACGCCGCGUGAGUGAUGAAGGCUUUCGGGUCGUAAAGCUCUGUCUAGAGGGAAGAAAUGAUAUUGGGUUAAUACCCUGGUAUCUUGACGGUACCUCUGAAGGAAGCACCGGCUAACUCCGUGCCAGCAGCCGCGGUAAUACGGAGGGUGCAAGCGUUGUUCGGAUUUAUUGGGCGUAAAGCGCGUGUAGGCGGUUUGUUAAGUCUGAUGUGAAAGCCCUGGGCUCAACCUGGGAAGUGCAUUGGAAACUGGCAGACUUGAAUACGGGAGAGGGUAGUGGAAUUCCUAGUGUAGGAGUGAAAUCCGUAGAUAUUAGGAGGAACACCGGUGGCGAAGGCGGCUACCUGGACCGAUAUUGACGCUGAGACGCGAAAGCGUGGGGAGCAAACAGGCUUAGAUACCCCAGUAGUC